CAAAGAUUAGAUGUCCAUAGGUGUGGGGAUUUAUUUCUGGGCUUUCAAUUCUGUUCCGUUGGUCUGUGUGCCUAUUCCAACCUUUGGGUCCAUGAUUGCUCAACAAUUUGUUUGGCUUUGUAUGUUAACUCUCUUUUCAGCCACCAGGUUCCAGAUGCCAUCAGGAUGCUGGUGGAAGCCAGGCUUCCCUGGAUUGAAGACCCCACCAAUGUGUCCUGAAGCUCAGCUUCCCCAGAGACACACCUUACUA
Erinaceus europaeus (western European hedgehog) is the source of this 250-nucleotide long non-coding RNA. RefSeq lists it as uncharacterized. The transcript has 2 exons. The record is from RefSeq and is a predicted model, not a curated record. Lineage: Eukaryota; Metazoa; Chordata; Mammalia; Eulipotyphla; Erinaceidae.